AAGAAGUAAUCGUUUAUGCUCGCUACAUUUCUCUGGGGCAAAUUAUGUCCAAGGCAAAACCAGCUCUAGGUUGAGAUGGGAUGCAUGUCCUGACACAUUUUUGGGUAAUGGAAAUAUGGAUGUUCUUCCCCCAUCAAUUAAUGACGAAGAUCAGUCAGAAUUUGCCUCUUAUUCUGGUAAAUCAAAGGAAUGCUCCGCA
This is a long non-coding RNA of Penaeus monodon (black tiger shrimp), 199 nucleotides long. RefSeq lists it as uncharacterized. NCBI's taxonomy places the organism in Eukaryota, Metazoa, Arthropoda, Malacostraca, Decapoda, Penaeidae. The transcript is spliced from 2 exons. The record is from RefSeq and is a predicted model, not a curated record.